GACGAACGCUGGCGGCGUGCUUAACACAUGCAAGUCGAACGGAAAGGCCCUGCUUUUGUGGGGUGCUCGAGUGGCGAACGGGUGAGUAACACGUGAGUAACCUGCCCUUGACUUUGGGAUAACUUCAGGAAACUGGGGCUAAUACCGGAUAGGAGCUCCUGCUGCAUGGUGGGGGUUGGAAAGUUUCGGCGGUUGGGGCUGGACUCGCGGCUUAUCAGCUUGUUGGUGGGGUAGUGGCUUACCAAGGCUUUGACGGGUAGCCGGCCUGAGAGGGUGACCGGCCACAUUGGGACUGAGAGACGGCGCAGACUGCUACGGGAGGCAGCAGUGGGGAGUAUUGCACAGUGGGCGGAAGCCUGAUGCAGCAACGCCGCGUGCGGGAUGACGGCUUUCGGGUUGUAAACCGCUUUCGCCUGAGACGAAGCGUGAGUGACGGUAAUGGGUAAAGAAGCACCGGCUAACUACGUG
RNAcentral lists this ribosomal RNA (468 nucleotides) under uncultured bacterium. Its description in RNAcentral is "partial 16S ribosomal RNA". It matches the Rfam family "Bacterial small subunit ribosomal RNA", at positions 28 to 507 of the family's 1533-position model. The record is from RNAcentral.